Molecule: long non-coding RNA, 2325 nt
Organism: Lycium ferocissimum
Lineage: Eukaryota; Viridiplantae; Streptophyta; Magnoliopsida; Solanales; Solanaceae
Exons: 2
Source: RefSeq, a predicted model, not a curated record
AUACUUAAAUUUGUUUUUGAUAUCAAUUAGAAAAGUUUUACAGGUGGAUUUACUUGCUCUCUUUAGCUUUCUGCUAUUUCAACAUCUUUCUACUGUUUUUCAUGUUUGAAGAUUCUUUCUUUAGGACUUAUUAUACAUUUUUUUUUGUGGAAUUUUCUUUAUCUAAUGCAUCGUAUUUCCUUAUUUUCAAUUUUCUUUUCUUUAUUCAAGCUGAUGAUAGUUCUCUACGUGUUGGAACGUAAUCAUGUGUGUUAAGAGUAUUUGGUGUUGUCUACUUCUACAUUUUUAAUAAAUCUACAUUUUUGAGUUAAUUUUUGCAGUUUAGUUAUGUUGAAGAUCCAUGUUGUUAACAUGGUGUUGAAACCAUACCAACACAUCCAUGUUGUGUGAUUCUCAACGUUUGGUUCACUGUUUUGUUGUUGUGUUAGGGUGUCUCCAUAGGUUGUCAGAGUGACAUGUUGUCUCUGAAUGUUAGAUAAUAAUGUGUUGCAGUAGAAAUGUUGAAGUUUAUUAAUUUUAAUAAGUGACUUUAGUUGUUUAAUUAAUAAUUUAGAAUGCUAAUGCUAAGUCAUAACAAUGGGAAGUAGGUGUUAUAGAGGAGAGUGCCCGUGCUUCGCACGGGUGUGCCCAAUUAUAGUAGUUGCAAACCACACAGGAGAGAUAACCCGUACUAGGUAAGCCCGGUGUGACGAGCUCGACGAGCUUGAACCUAAUUUAAUUAUUUUGUUAGUUAUGUCAUUGUUUUUUCUUCAUUUUACUUUCUAUUUCUUACUCCCUUGUAAUGUCUCAGUGUCCAAAUAAUUUGUCAAGUUUGUCAUAAAAAAAAAUAAAAAAAAUUGUCAAGUUUAAGUUUCUUUAAUUAAGAAUAGCGGAAUGCUCAAAUUUGCGACUAUUAUAACUGAAUCUUAUUAUUUAAAUUUGAACAUAGAUUCAGGCGGGAUCCAAACCAUUUUGCAGAGACAUCCUAUCAGCCGCCAGGAGACAUUAGCAUUUUAUGCAAGGAGAGCACAGAGCUGGACUCAGGGAACUUACAUCAAGUUUACCAAGUUUACCAAGCAAAGGAUGGAAAUAGCUUAUGUUAUGAUGACUGCCAAAUCUGAGACUAUUUUUCCCUUUAUUUUAGCUAGGUGGACACACAAAUUCUGAAUCUGAGGACUAAAACAUGCACAAAAGACAAAAAACUUGACAAGAAGUGCCUUGAAGAGGUAUGAAUUCACAUAAUCAAGUUUGAUAUCCUUCCUAUCCAGUUAUGACAAAAACCUGCAUACUUCCCAAUUUUCUGGUGUGCAAAUAUGUGUCAGCUAUGCAACCCAAUUGACCCUUUGAUGUACAAAAAAGAGAGGCCACCUCUACUAAACAAAGUAACAUUAAUACCAUUUACAAUCUCCAUUUUAAAUUAUUAGUAUUUUCUAAGUUGGUAUGGUAUAUAAAUUUGAUGAUUCAUGUCGGCACAAAGAUACUCGAAAAGAAAAUAUUGGGGCGAAGAUAUUUGGAAACAAAGUCAUCGGAUUGUUAUCUAGGUGCUAAGCUAUAAGAUAAGACUAUUCUUCAUUUUUCGAACCUCUAUAUGCUCCCAGUCUAAUAACAAAAAUAUGCUACCUCUCACAGGAAGACUAUAGCUUAAAAUGAAUAAAUAUGUUUUCUUCUUUUCUGAUAAGGCUAUGUGAUGAUAUUUGUGUAACUCUAAAGGGAAAAGUUUACAUGUUAUGUAAUUAUUUGUGGCACUGGAGCUAUAGGUGAAACACAUAAGGGCACUCUGUUAAAUAAGUGAGAAUUUAACUUUGUUAAAUAAUUAUUAUGGUACUUUACUUCAUUUUGUUACUGUCCAUUUAUAAUGUUUGAUGGUGUAUGCGAAGAGCAAAAUUGUUGGAUUGAAAUGGUCUACUCUACUUUAGGUAAACUUUACUCACAUUGCUAAGUUUUACAAUUCAAAAGAAUUAAGCUAAAAUCCCAAUUUUUCUCCCAAGUUCUUAGCUGAUUUUAAUUUUCUUCUCUAUCAACAUUUGUUCUAUUCUUUGUGCCAGUAAGCAAAGUAAGAGUCAUUAAACUUUCUUUAUGUUUUACAGUAUUACUUUGCUAUCUACUGGAUUGUGUAAGUUUAUUCCUUCAAUUUCUUCCCACGUCAUGAAAGAGUUUCAUCUUGCAAGAGCAUACUUAUGUUCAACUGUCAAUCUCAUGUAGAUGUUGGAGCACCUAUAAUCUUUCUACUUGUGUCUUUCUAGCAAGCUACCUAUGUAACUUUGUUCCACAAACUAUGUCUCUGUUUUGCCUUUCGUGCAAACUACUCCCGUAACUUUGUUCCACAAAUGAAUGUAAUAUAGUAUG